Molecule: non-coding RNA, 75 nt
Filed under: Rubrivivax sp. A210
Lineage: Bacteria; Pseudomonadati; Pseudomonadota; Betaproteobacteria; Burkholderiales; Sphaerotilaceae
Description: SAH (S-adenosyl-L-homocysteine) riboswitch aptamer
Rfam family: SAH (S-adenosyl-L-homocysteine) riboswitch aptamer
Source: Rfam by way of RNAcentral
CGCCCCGAGGAGCGUUGCAACCUUCGUCCAGAAGGCCAGGCUCGGGGUUCUACAUUGCAACCGCGCUCACCUGCA